AGCAAAGGCGGCAGUCUACACAUGCAGUCGAGCGGCAGCACGGGUAACUAUGUACCUGGUGGCGAGCGGCGGACGGGUGAGUAAUGCCUAGGAAUCUGCCUAGUAGUGGGGGAUAACGUCCGGAAACGGGCGCUAAUACCGCAUACGUCCUACGGGAGAAAGUGGGGGAUCUUCGGACCUCACGCUAUUAGAUGAGCCUAGGUCGGAUUAGCUAGUUGGUGAGGUAAUGGCUCACCAAGGCGACGAUCCGUAACUGGUCUGAGAGGAUGAUCAGUCACACUGGAACUGAGACACGGUCCAGACUCCUACGGGAGGCAGCAGUGGGGAAUAUUGGACAAUGGGCGAAAGCCUGAUCCAGCCAUGCCGCGUGUGUGAAGAAGGUCUUCGGAUUGUAAAGCACUUUAAGUUGGGAGGAAGGGCAGUUACCUAAUACGUGAUUGUUUUGACGUUACCGACAGAAUAAGCACCGGCUAACUCUGUGCCAGCAGCCGCGGUAAUACAGAGGGUGCAAGCGUUAAUCGGAAUUACUGGGCGUAAAGCGCGCGUAGGUGGUUUGUUAAGUUGGAUGUGAAAGCCCCGGGCUCAACCUGGGAACUGCAUCCCAAACUGGCAAGCUAGAGUAUGGUAGAGGGGUGGGUGGAAUUUCCUGGGGUAGCGGUGAAAUGCGUAGAUAUAGGAAGGAACACCAGUGGCGAAAGGCGACCACCUGGACUGAUACUGACACUGAUGGUGCGAAAGCGUGGGGAGCAAACAGGAGUAGAUACCCUGGGUAGUCCACGCCGUAACGAUGUCACUAGCCGUUGGGGAGCUGAGCUCUUAGUGGCGCAGCUUACGCAUAAGUGGACCGCCUGGGGGAGUACGGCCGCAAGUUAAACUCAGAUGAAUGACGGGGGCCCGCACAAGCGUGGAGCAUGGUGGUUUAAUUCGAGCACCGCGAGACGUACCAGUCUUGAACAUCAUGACUUCUAAAAUAGAUGGUGCUUCCGGACAGUGAACCGUGCUGCAUGGCUGUCGUCAGCUCAGUCUGGCAAGUAGAUUAGUCCGUACCGAGGGCACCUG
RNAcentral lists this ribosomal RNA (1059 nucleotides) under Pseudomonas sp. Its description in RNAcentral is "bacterial SSU rRNA". It matches the Rfam family "Bacterial small subunit ribosomal RNA", at positions 32 to 1104 of the family's 1533-position model. The record is from RNAcentral. Lineage: Bacteria; Pseudomonadati; Pseudomonadota; Gammaproteobacteria; Pseudomonadales; Pseudomonadaceae.